Molecule: ribosomal RNA, 371 nt
Filed under: Halococcus sp.
Lineage: Archaea; Methanobacteriati; Methanobacteriota; Halobacteria; Halobacteriales; Halococcaceae
Description: bacterial SSU rRNA
Rfam family: Archaeal small subunit ribosomal RNA
Source: RNAcentral
AUAGACCCGUAGCAAAUAGCUCCGUAACACGUGGUCAAUUCUACCCUCUGGACCGGAAUACCCUCGGGAAACUGAGGCUAAUUCCGGAUACUGCUUUCAUGUUGGAACACAGAAAGUCGGAAACGGUCCGCCGCCGGAGGACGUGACUGCGGCCGAUUAGGUAGACGGUGGGGUAACGGCCCACCGUGCCGAUAAUCGGUACGGGUUGUGAGAGCAAGAACCCGGAGACGGUAUCUGAGACAAGAUACCGGGCCCUACGGGGCGCAGCAGGCGCGAAACCUUUACACUGCACGCCAGUGCGAUAAGGGGACCCCGAGUGCGAGGGCAUACAGUCCUCGCUUUUCGUGACCGUAAGAAGGUCUCAGAAUAAC